GACGAACGCUGGCGGCGUGCUUAACACAUGCAAGUCGAACGAUGAACCGGGGCUUGCCCUGGGGAUUAGUGGCGAACGGGUGAGUAACACGUGGGCAACCUGCCCCAGACACCGGGAUAACCUCUCGAAAGAGUGGCUAAUACCGGAUACGACCUUCUCGGGCAUCCGAAGGGGUGGAAAGGAUUCUGGUCUGGGAUGGGCCCGCGGCCUAUCAGCUUGUUGGUGGGGUAAUGGCCUACCAAGGCGACGACGGGUAGCCGGCCUGAGAGGGCGACCGGCCACACUGGGACUGAGACACGGCCCAGACUCCUACGGGAGGCAGCAGUGGGGAAUAUUGCGCAAUGGGCGAAAGCCUGACGCAGCGACGCCGCGUGAGGGACGAAGGUCUUCGGAUUGUAAACCUCUUUCAGCAGGGACGAAGCGAAAGUGACUGUACCUGCAGAAGAAGCACUGGCUAACUACGUG
RNAcentral lists this ribosomal RNA (465 nucleotides) under uncultured bacterium. RNAcentral's name for it is "bacterial SSU rRNA". It matches the Rfam family "Bacterial small subunit ribosomal RNA", at positions 28 to 507 of the family's 1533-position model. The record is from RNAcentral.